RNAcentral lists this ribosomal RNA (253 nucleotides) under uncultured bacterium. Its description in RNAcentral is "partial 16S ribosomal RNA". It matches the Rfam family "Bacterial small subunit ribosomal RNA", at positions 524 to 776 of the family's 1533-position model. The record is from RNAcentral.
UACGUAGGGUGCGAGCGUUGCCCGGAUUUAUUGGGCGUAAAGGGCGCGUAGGCGGCUCGGCACGUCCGUUGUGAAAUCGCCCGGCUCAACUGGGCGGGGUCAGCGGAUACGGCCGAGCUUGAGCAAGCUAGGGGGCAAUGGAAUUCCCGGUGUAGCAGUGAAAUGCGUAGAGAUCGGGAGGAACAUCUGUGGCGAAGGCGACUGCCUGGACCAGCACUGACACUGAGGCACGAAAGCGUGGGGAGCAAACAGG